GAAAAAUCUCAGCACAUCUCUGGGCAAUGAAAUCAUUCUUUUGGGACCUGACACAUGAACUGAAGUGUAAUUGGCAUUCUUCGUGGAAGGGGCAUGGAUUUAAAUUGUCGUUCAGGUAUCAUGGCCUUACAUGAUAUUCAUCUGAAGCAGGAUGAGACAGAGCAGGCAGAAAAGGAAACAUUUCUGACAAUGUUCUGUUAUGAAGAAUCCACCUUUCCUAGAAGCCCCAGCAAACCUCCCAUCGGACUCAUAGGUGCAAACUGGCUGAAAGGCUCAUUCCAAGACCAAGCACAGGUACAAGGGCCAAAACUGGCUAGAACAGGCAUGACUCACCUUUUCAGCUUCUCAGUCAUCUCCUCUCAAGGGCACAGGUCUGUUUGGUUGGUUUGUGAAUAAAACUGGGGGACUGUUAUUAUGGAAGAAGCAGUGAUAAGACCCUUUCCAUAAAGAGGAGAGACGUGAACUGGCAU
RNAcentral lists this long non-coding RNA (470 nucleotides) under Homo sapiens (human). RNAcentral's name for it is "non-protein coding lnc-DHX37-9:17". The record is from RNAcentral. Lineage: Eukaryota; Metazoa; Chordata; Mammalia; Primates; Hominidae.